This 517-nucleotide ribosomal RNA is filed under the name uncultured bacterium. RNAcentral describes it as "bacterial SSU rRNA". It matches the Rfam family "Bacterial small subunit ribosomal RNA", at positions 8 to 518 of the family's 1533-position model. The record is from RNAcentral.
AGAGUUUGAUCAUGGCUCAGAUUGAACGCUGGCGGCAGGCUUAACACAUGCAAGUCGAGCGGGGAUAGGGUGCUUGCACCUGAUUCCUAGCGGCGGACGGGUGAGUAAUGCUUAGGAAUCUGCCUAUUAGUGGGGGACAACGUUCCGAAAGGGACGCUAAUACCGCAUACGUCCUACGGGAGAAAGCAGGGGAUCUUCGGACCUUGCGCUAAUAGAUGAGCCUAAGUCGGAUUAGCUAGUUGGUGGGGUAAAGGCCUACCAAGGCGACGAUCUGUAGCGGGUCUGAGAGGAUGAUCCGCCACACUGGGACUGAGACACGGCCCAGACUCCUACGGGAGGCAGCAGUGGGGAAUAUUGGACAAUGGGGGCAACCCUGAUCCAGCCAUGCCGCGUGUGUGAAGAAGGCCUUUUGGUUGUAAAGCACUUUAAGCGAGGAGGAGGCUUACCUGGUUAAUACCCGGGAUAAGUGGACGUUACUCGCAGAAUAAGCACCGGCUAACUCUGUGCCAGCCGCCGC